RNAcentral lists this ribosomal RNA (429 nucleotides) under Verrucomicrobiota bacterium. RNAcentral's name for it is "Verrucomicrobia bacterium partial 16S ribosomal RNA". It matches the Rfam family "Bacterial small subunit ribosomal RNA", at positions 355 to 776 of the family's 1533-position model. Lineage: Bacteria; Pseudomonadati; Verrucomicrobiota. The record is from RNAcentral.
UAGGGAAUCUUCCGCAAUGGACGAAAGUCUGACGGAGCAACGCCGCGUGAGUGAAGAAGGAUUUCGGUUCGUAAAACUCUGUUGUUAGGGAAGAAAAAAUGUAUAGUAACUAUAUACAAAAGAGACGGUACCUAACCAGAAAGCCACGGCUAACUACGUGCCAGCAGCCGCGGUAAUACGUAGGUGGCAAGCGUUGUCCGGAAUUAUAGGGCGUAAAGCGCGCGCAGGUGGUUUAGAAAGUCUGAUGUGAAAGCCCACGGCUCAACCGUGGAGGGUCAUUGGAAACUAAUAAACUUGAGUGCAGGAGUGAAAAGUGGAAUUCCUAGUGUAGCGGUGAAAUGCGUAGAGAUUAGGAGGAACACCGGUGGCGAAAGCGGCUUUUUGGCCUGCAACUGACACUGAGGCGCGAAAGCGUGGGGAGCAAACAGG